CGCCCGUCGCUCCUACCGAUUGGGUGUGCUGGUGAAGUGUUCGGACUGGCUACGGCUGCGGGUAACCUUGGCCGAAGCUGGGAAGAACAUUAAACCCUCCCACCUAGAGGAAGGAGAAGUCGUAACAAGGUUUCC
Molecule: ribosomal RNA, 135 nt
Filed under: Chlamydomonadaceae sp.
Lineage: Eukaryota; Viridiplantae; Chlorophyta; Chlorophyceae; Chlamydomonadales; Chlamydomonadaceae
Description: partial small subunit ribosomal RNA
Rfam family: Eukaryotic small subunit ribosomal RNA
Source: RNAcentral